GAGCAAUAAUUUCGAUUCUUUUUUUUGCCGCCAAUGUGCCAGCUAGAAUUUGGGUGGGUCAUUUCCUUUUUCCCCUUCCUUUAUACGAGCACCUUCCAUUUUCCUUGUUGAUUGGCCCACACUAAAGUUCCUAUAUUUGCAAAUCAAGGAUCUAGACAUAAUAGGCUUGAAAUGUGACCAUAAAUUGGUUAGCCCAGCCUUUGCGACUCACUCACAAAACUCAACCUCACCUCUCUUGAAACCUGCACGCCACCGGAGUUACAUAUUCCGCCGGAGCAAACGGAGUCGCCAGAGAUCGAGGAAGCCGCCGGAGUUUGAAGUGAUCACCGUAAACACUUUCGCCGUAGUCGGAAACUCAACGGAGUUACGUACGGAGGUCACGACAGGAAACCUUGCAUCAUCGAGCACCGGAGAAAGCCGACAUCAUCGGAGAACGCAGCCGUCGCCGGAUUCGCGUCGGAGGUUCACAAUGUUUCGGAUAAACCGUUCGUUCUCUUGGAUUUCUCCAAUCCUUACUUGUGUGUUGUUUCAAGAAUUCUCACACGCAACCAAUGUUGACUAAUGAAGUAUGGAUGAUUGAUGAAACAAGUUUAGGGUGGACUAGAUACACACCUAGAUUAAUCUAUCUUUUAUUGUAAUGUUUUGUUAUGAAGCAAUGUUGUUAUUUUUAUUUGAAUCUUGUAUGAUGUUUAGUAUUGAAAUGAAAUUUGAAUUUAAUUAAA
Molecule: long non-coding RNA, 722 nt
Organism: Helianthus annuus (common sunflower)
Lineage: Eukaryota; Viridiplantae; Streptophyta; Magnoliopsida; Asterales; Asteraceae
Exons: 3
Source: RefSeq, a predicted model, not a curated record